UGGGGAAUAUUGGACAAUGGGCGCAAGCCUGAUCCAGCAAUGCCGCGUGAGUGAUGAAGGCCUUAGGGUUGUAAAGCUCUUUUACCAGGGAUGAUAAUGACAGUACCUGGAGAAUAAGCUCCGGCUAACUCCGUGCCAGCAGCCGCGGUCAUACGGAGGGAGCUAGCGUUGUUCGGAAUUACUGGGCGUAAAGCGCGCGUAGGCGGCUUAUCAAGUCAGGGGUGAAAUCCCGGGGCUCAACCCCGGAACUGCCCUUGAAACUGGUAAGCUAGAAUCUUGGAGAGGUCAGUGGAAUUCCGAGUGUAGAGGUGAAAUUCGUAGAUAUUCGGAAGAACACCAGUGGCGAAGGCGACUGACUGGACAAGUAUUGACGCUGAGGUGCGAAAGCGUGGGGAGCAAACA
RNAcentral lists this ribosomal RNA (402 nucleotides) under uncultured prokaryote. RNAcentral's name for it is "bacterial SSU rRNA". It matches the Rfam family "Bacterial small subunit ribosomal RNA", at positions 355 to 774 of the family's 1533-position model. The record is from RNAcentral.